Non-coding RNA from Gossypium raimondii (Peruvian cotton), 147 nucleotides. The record is from Rfam. Lineage: Eukaryota; Viridiplantae; Streptophyta; Magnoliopsida; Malvales; Malvaceae.
UAUUAAAAAAUGUAUCUAAUUCUAUUAUUAAAAAUUAGCAUGGUUAACAGAAUAACAAAACAGUAAUACGCGGUGUGCUAUAUGUACCUCAUGUUGAGGUAUAAAGACCAAUUUUUAAUAGUAAAAUGAACAAUUUAUUCUUUAAUU